Molecule: long non-coding RNA, 844 nt
Organism: Amphiprion ocellaris (clown anemonefish)
Lineage: Eukaryota; Metazoa; Chordata; Actinopteri; Pomacentridae
Exons: 2
Source: RefSeq, a predicted model, not a curated record
UUGCCUCCGCCAUCCUACCACUCUCUUUCUCUCGCUGCUUUUUUCGUAAAAGGCGACCACGAAAAUACGCAUCACUUCACUGGGUGUUUGGGCAAAUGAAGGCCACUUGUCUGGAGUUCAUUUUAGUAGCGGUAUCUUUUAGAGGUCGGGUUUUUUUUGCCGGAAGAGUAGAUACAACUGUGGCCUGAAGAAGUUUAAGUGUCCUAAGGUAGCAACCUGCAGCUGCAACAACCUCUGGGUCCUUCCUCCCAUCAGAGUUCUUCUCACCCUCCCACCUCGCCUACCCAGUGUUCAGACUACCUGUUCAUCCAGAUACAGCUGAACAGUAGUCUGCACAUUGGUUAGGCUAGACUGGGACACACCUCCUGCCACCCCACCGUGGGUAAUGACAAAAAACCUCCACUUGAAGGAGUUUAUAUCUACAGUGCCAAAUACAGCAUCUUCAUCUUUAUGUGUUCCAGUUGUGCUGUGGUAUGACGUCUUAGCCAGCUAUAUCCCUUUGUAUCCGGUGAAAUACAGCACUGGAGCAGAAAUUCUUCUCACCUCCUCAUCUUUGUACCAGGACAGGGACUCAGCGGUCAGGACAAACCAGUAUUCCUUGGAGCCUCCUUUCAUGAUGCUGAUGUUGAUGGUUAGCCAGCCUUUUCUGAUCACCUACAGUGAGGAGAAGAUGUGGGAGAGAGGAGGGUGGUAGGGAAAGAAGGGUACCAGGAGGAUGGAGGAAAACAGCUUCAUAAAUCAGGCUCAUGCAUGGUGAAAUUUGGGCUCCAUUAAGUGUUUUGCUCUUAUUUCUAGGAUGCGACUAACACUAAUAAAAUUUUGCUGACUUACCUGUUAAGUCAAA